UACGUAGGUGGCAAGCGUUGUCCGGAUUUAUUGGGUUUAAAGGGUGCGUAGGCGGCUUUGUAAGUCAGCGGUGAAAUACUCUAGCUUAACUAGAGGGGUGCCAUUGAUACUGCAGAGCUUGAGUACAGAUGAGGUAGGCGGAAUUGACGGUGUAGCGGUGAAAUGCAUAGAUAUCGUCAAGAACACCGAUAGCGAAGGCAGCUUACUGGGCUGUAACUGACGCUGAUGCACGAAAGUGUGGGGAUCAAACAGG
This 253-nucleotide ribosomal RNA is filed under the name uncultured bacterium. RNAcentral describes it as "partial 16S ribosomal RNA". It matches the Rfam family "Bacterial small subunit ribosomal RNA", at positions 524 to 776 of the family's 1533-position model. The record is from RNAcentral.